ACUGGCUGUGGCAAUAUUCAAUUACUAGUUAUGGUCAGUCAAACCUUUACAUUUCAGUGGGAGUUUUGCAUUAAUCAGGAAUAAAGGAUCUGAAAGAUAGACUGUCACUUCUGCAGAUCCACUCUACUUCUUGCCUAUGGAGACUUCAGAGAGGGAACAAAUCUUCAAACAGAGACCAGAGUUGUAGGGAAUUUCCAUACCUGGAGAUCUUCAACACUCAGAAAAGUACCUGAGCAACCUGAUCUCACCUGUGUUGAGCUGUGUAUGUUGGACUGGAAGACCUCCACUUUGGUGUCCCUCCCAAAAUAAAAUUAAUUUAUUUAUA
Long non-coding RNA from Cygnus olor (mute swan), 325 nucleotides. RefSeq lists it as uncharacterized. The transcript has 2 exons. Lineage: Eukaryota; Metazoa; Chordata; Aves; Anseriformes; Anatidae. The record is from RefSeq and is a predicted model, not a curated record.